Hordeum vulgare subsp. vulgare (domesticated barley) is the source of this 135-nucleotide non-coding RNA. NCBI's taxonomy places the organism in Eukaryota, Viridiplantae, Streptophyta, Magnoliopsida, Poales, Poaceae. The record is from Rfam.
AAGAUACUACCUUCGUCCUAAAAUUCUUGUCUAAGAUUUAUCUAGAUAUGAAUAUAUCUAAUACUAAAACGUGACUAGAUACAUCCAUAUUUAAAAAAAUCUAAGACAAGAAUUUUAGGACGGAAGGAGUAUAUG